This 356-nucleotide ribosomal RNA is filed under the name uncultured bacterium. RNAcentral's name for it is "bacterial SSU rRNA". It matches the Rfam family "Bacterial small subunit ribosomal RNA", at positions 29 to 412 of the family's 1533-position model. The record is from RNAcentral.
AACGAACGCUGGCGGCAGGCCUAACACAUGCAAGUCGAACGCUCCGCAAGGGAGUGGCGCACGGGUGAGUAACACGUGGGAACCUACCUUCUGGUACGGAACAACCAAGGGAAACUUUGGCUAAGACCGUAUACGACCUCCGGGUGAAAGAUUGAUCGCCGGAAGAGGGGCCCGCGUCCGAUUAGGUAUUGGUGAGGUAACGGCUCACCAAGCCUUCGAUCGGUAGCUGGUCUGAGAGGGAUGACCAGCUACACUGGGACUGAGACACGGCCCAGACUCCCUACGGGAGGCAGGCAGUGGGGGAAUAUUGGACAAUGGGCGCAAGCCUGAUCCAGCCAUGCCGCGUGAGUGAUGAA